This is a regulatory RNA element of Fulvivirga imtechensis AK7, 35 nucleotides long. It matches the Rfam family "DUF805b RNA". From Rfam's summary of the family: Bacteroidetes, Chlorobi (1 example), Proteobacteria. Lineage (Flavobacteria) Lineage: Bacteria; Pseudomonadati; Bacteroidota; Cytophagia; Cytophagales; Fulvivirgaceae. The record is from Rfam.
UAUGCGGAAGCCGAAAAGCAGUAACAGAGUAGGCA